GACAGAGGUCCCAAGCGUUGUUCGGAUUUAUUGGGCGUAAAGGGCGCGUAGGCGGCCGGGCCAGUCCGGCGUGAAAGCCCGCAGCUUAACUGCGGAAGGGCGUCGGAUACUACCUGGCUCGAGGAUUGGAGAGGGGACUGGAAUUCCCGGUGUAGCGGUGAAAUGCAUAGAUAUCGGGAAGAACGCCAGUGGCGAAGGCGAGUCCCUGGACAACUCCUGACGCUGAGGCGCGAAAGCUAGGGGAG
Molecule: ribosomal RNA, 245 nt
Filed under: uncultured bacterium
Lineage: Bacteria
Description: partial 16S ribosomal RNA
Rfam family: Bacterial small subunit ribosomal RNA
Source: RNAcentral